Molecule: RNA transcript, 2533 nt
Organism: Myotis myotis
Lineage: Eukaryota; Metazoa; Chordata; Mammalia; Chiroptera; Vespertilionidae
Gene: PWWP3A
Gene name: PWWP domain containing 3A, DNA repair factor
Exons: 14
Source: RefSeq, a predicted model, not a curated record
CGGCGGCCCGGUCUGCGGAGGUGGUGAGCGCAGGCGUGGGCCGCGGCCGCGGCGGCGGCUGGGGCGGCGCGGGUGCGACCGCCGUUGGGCCGCCGCGGCCUUCUAGCUCUCCACGCCGGGCUGGGAGACGCCGCGCUCGCGAGGCCAGGGGUCCGGGCCCUUUGCACCAGACCUUUAAGCACGUUGUGUCAAAUCUUUACCACUUGCCACAUGAGUCCCAAAUCAUGACGGACGCCAAGUAUGUCCUCUGCAGAUGGAAAGAGCGAUUAUGGCCUGCAAAGGUUUUGGCCAGAACUGAGAUGUCAACAACUAAGAAAAAAAAGAGAUUUUUUCUAAAUGUUCAAAUACUCUCCUUAGACAAAAAGGUGAGAGUGAAAAGCACAGAAGCCAAGAUUCUGAGGAAGUCCCACAUCGAGGACAUCGCUGCCUUAUUGGCCUCACAGAACAAGGUUUCCGCCAAACCUGUGGAGGAGUUGACCUACAGACGGUCACUUAGAGUGGCUCUGGAUAUUUUGAAUGAGAAAACCCAUUCUCAUCAAGAAAACUCUUCAAGGGAAGAAAGAACUGCUGUGUCUGCAGGAGAGAAGCACAUGGAACUGGCAUCCUCACUCUGUGAUCCCAACCCUUCAUCUCUUCUCCAUGAGGGGGUGUUGGGCAGUUCCGGAUCUGAGAGGAGGCUACGCGGACACCAGAAGCUGUCGGGCUCGUCCGCUAGUGAAAAUGAGAUCAAGUGCCAAAUGGACAACAAGAAGGGGGUUGGGGAAAGUGAAAGCCCACUUAUCCGGGUGGUCUCAGCUGGAGGUGGCUCUCGGGACCGGAGUAGGUCAAGAAUACACCUCAAAAAUGGGACGACCCUGAGUGAAAGGGGAAGGAAUUUGGCACAGGAGCCCAGCAGGUGUCAGAAUGGCUCUUCACUUUCAGUGGGAGAGCAGGAAAGAGAGAGUGAGGAAAAGACGGACAGCCCUGCAGUCCUGAGCUCACCUUCUGCAGCUACGGAGCAGGGUCUGUGUGCCAAAGGUCGCCACUCAGUUUCGCCAUCAGGCAGCCCCACUGGGCACCCAGCCUGCCCGGAUGCUCACGGCCCACCCGACCAUCAGUCUUCUGAAGAGUCAAUGGAGUUUGAUCCUGUUAAUUCCAUCCUGGAGGAGGAUGAGGAGGAGGAGGAGGAGCCCCCAAGAAUCCUUUUAUAUCACGAACCAAGUUCGUUUGAAGUAGGAAUGCUGGUCUGGCUUAAAUACCAGAAGUACCCCUUCUGGCCCGCAGUGGUCAAGAACGUGAAGCGGAGAGAAAAGAAAGCGAGUGUGCUUUUCAUUGAAGGACACAUGGACCCGAAAGGGCGAGGCAUCACAGUGCCUCUCAAGAGGCUGAAGCACUUCGACUGUAAAGAGAAGCAGGCGCUUCUGAAUGAGGCUAAGGAGGACUUCGACCAGGCUAUUGGCUGGUGUGUCUCCCUGAUCACUGAUUACAGGGUCCGGCUCGGCUGUGGUUCCUUCUCUGGCUCUUUCCUGGAAUAUUAUGCAGCGAAUAUAAGCUAUCCUGUCCGCAAGUCCAUCCAGCAGGAUGUCUUGGGGACCCGAUUCCCUCGGCUCUGCCAUGAGGAUCCUGAGAUGCCUCUGGCUGGGAGUCCCUGGGGCAGGAGGCAACCCUGCAGAAAAGUCUUGCCCGAUCGAUCACGAGCUGCCCGGGACCGGGCCAACCAAAAGCUGGUGGAGUACAUCGUGAAGACGAGGGGCGCUGAGAACCACCUGCGGGCCAUCUUGAAGAACAGGAAGCCAUCCAGGUGGCUGCAGACGUUUCUGAACUCGGGGCAGUAUGUGACGUGUGUAGAGACGUACCUGGAAGAUGAGGAACAGCUGGACCUGGUGGUGAAAUACUUGCAAGGGGUCUACCAGGAAACAGGCAGCAGGAUGCUGACGCAGAUCAAUGGUGACCAAAUCCGCUUCAUCCUGGACGUCCUUCUGCCUGAAGCCAUCAUCUGCGCGAUUUCUGCGGUGGACGCGGUAGAUUACAAGACGGCUGAGGAGAAGUACAUCAGAGGACCUUUGCUGAGCUACCGGUAGGCUGCUCAGAGCCUUGCCCCAACCAUUCUACAACGUACCUUCCAAGGCUUGUAUUUGCACACAUGCUAGCAGCUGGGACUGAGGCCCCUCUUCUUGAUCUGUUGGACUAGAUACCCACUCUGGGAAAAAGAAAUAUUUGACAACCAGCUCCUAGAAGAAAGGAACCAGCGAUGCUGAUGGGGAGGCGCCCCCGUGUGUAGUGAGAGUUGCCGGAGGUCCCUGGGCUGUGGCACACGGGCUCUGAAGAUGGAACUGGAGAGAUGUGAACCUCAGAUCUGUCCAUGGGUUUUAUUUUCCUGGCUUUUCAGGGAAGAUACAGUUCCUGAAAGGUUUUUGAAAGGACAAAACUGACUCAUUUUGCAUUAUUUCAUUACUUGCGACUGUACAGAAUAGUUUAAUAUAAGGUACACAUUUGUCUUUUUAUGUUAAAAAGCAUUGUAUCCGAUAUUAAACAGGAGUUGUUGUUUUUUAAA